Molecule: long non-coding RNA, 493 nt
Organism: Eurytemora carolleeae
Lineage: Eukaryota; Metazoa; Arthropoda; Copepoda; Calanoida; Temoridae
Exons: 3
Source: RefSeq, a predicted model, not a curated record
GCAAUUAACUUUCCUUGCAUUAUAACCUUGGUACAGACUAUAUAUCCUAAACAGUAUAAAAAGUAUUUUAAAAUGAAAUGGUUCCUCAAAAAAGCAUCACCCGAUGGCAAACCAAGUUUCAAGGAAAUUUCUCCAACAUUUACCCCCUUCCCCCCCUCCAGGGGGCCAAACCUUCCAAUUUACAUACCACCCCCUCCCCCCAGAACUUGCUGAUUCAUAGUCAUUUAUUUAAAUAUAUUUUUGUCCUAGGAUAUUUUCUUUAGUUUUUAGCUUCUACUGAAAACUAAGUCCUUGAUAUUCAAAAGUUAUAGCCUUACAAUUCUAGGAAUAAGGGCACGGAGCAGUCUGAAUUAUUUGGUGGGAAAAAUGGGGGCAUGUAUGUUUACAAGAAGCUUGGACAUUAACUUACUAAAAGGAGUGUAAGCGCAAGGUUAAGGUUUGAUGAAACUCUCCUGAGUAGAGCUAAACAAGCCACUAGAACAGAAUCACUGUA